Molecule: ribosomal RNA, 324 nt
Filed under: uncultured eukaryote
Lineage: Eukaryota
Description: partial 18S ribosomal RNA
Rfam family: Eukaryotic small subunit ribosomal RNA
Source: RNAcentral
CCCUUAGAUGUUCUGGGCCGCACGCGCGCUACACUGAUGCAUUCAACGAGUUUCUUCCUGGUCCGAGAGGAAUGGGUAACCUUUUGAAAGUGCAUCGUGAUAGGGAUAGACUAUUGCAAUUAUUGGUCUUCAACGAGGAAUUCCUAGUAGACGUGGUUCAUCAGACUGCAUCGAUUACGUCCCUGCCCUUUGUACACACCGCCCGUCGCUCCUACCGAUUGAAUGCUCAGGUGAGCCAUUCGGACCUUCAUCAUGCCGGUUUCCGGUUUUGAUGAGGGAAAGUCUUGCGAACCUUAUCAUUUAGAGGAAGGAGAAGUCGUAACA